Long non-coding RNA from Callithrix jacchus (white-tufted-ear marmoset), 15110 nucleotides. RefSeq lists it as uncharacterized. The record is from RefSeq and is a predicted model, not a curated record. Lineage: Eukaryota; Metazoa; Chordata; Mammalia; Primates; Cebidae.
AUGUGUGUAUGAGUCACCAUCAGCAUGGGAGGGGAGCUCAGGGCUGCAGAGCUGAUGCUCUCUUAGUUUACUAGGAGCUCUCUUCACCUUCCCCUCCCGCAUGGAGAAAAGAGCAGCAGCCACAGCUACGCUAGUGAUUAACUUUGGAAGGAAAUUAAGGCUUGACCGCUGCUGCUGACCUGAGGGGAGAGUCACCUCCAAGCAGACUGCGCUGGCUCAAGAACAUGGAGUGAGCCGCAGCAGGUGGAAGCACUCAGAGAGGGCGCUGCUAGCAUCAGGUCCGGAGGGGUUCCACUCGAGGUUCCACGCAGAGAAGGAAGGAGGAGGAGAAGAGAAUAAGAGGGAGAGAAGAAAGCAAAAAAUUUUGGCACCAGUCAACAGACGUCUAAAGACGCUCGUAUGGAGGGGCUUGAAGAGAACCGAAGAAGCUGGCCAUGCUCCCACCCGCCUUAUGAGAGGCUCAGACAUAGCCUUGAACUAUCCCUGGGACACCCAACUCUUCCAAGCUAUUCAGUGAGUGAUGAGAAAACUAAGCUGUGGAACAGACUGUUACCUGCCCAGGAUGAGACAGCAAGCUCAGAUGAGACUUCUGACUUCCUGAUCCAGGUCGAUUUAAAGGUGCUGGUGAAGUGAUUACAAAUCUCCCCAUGGCAAACAACCUCUGCAGACUCAUGAAGACGAUUCUUCAAUUCAUUCACACAUGGAAGAAUUCAGGGAGGAUGACAAUGGUAAUGUUUCUUUUACUUCAUCUAUGAAAUAUACAACCAGGACCAGAGGGUGUCUGCCUAAGAAACGUCUUUCUUCUUCUUUUAAGGCAAGUGAAUAAAUGUUUCAAGCCAUGGCAUCGAUCUACACACUUUCAGGAUCUUGCCUAGUGUGCAGCUUUAUAUGUCUGUUUCCUGACACUUCUCAGCAGAAGAAACCAUCUCUAACAUUCCAAAGGGGGCAGAGCUCAGAAGUGUAGCUGAGAAAGCAGUUUGAGAACCCAAGACCAAAUAUGCUGAAUCCCUUGAAGAUGGAAGAAGUUUCUCCAAAACAACCAAGUGUUUAUUGAGCUGGGAAUAAUUAUGUUGUGGAAGAUAGAAGGAAGUAUAACAUAGUUACUUGCCUUUAAGAAGCAAAUAUUCUGACCAGAUAGAAACCAAGGAGCUGGGCACCGUGGCUCAUGCCUGUAAUCCCAACACUUUGGGAGGCCCAGGAGGGCAGAUCACGAGGUUGGGAGUUUGAGACCAGCCUGACCAACAUGGUGAAACCCUGUCUCUACUGAAAAUACAAAAAAAUUAGCUGGGUGUGGUGGCACGUGCCUGUAAUCCCAGCUACUCAGGAGGCUGAGGCAGGAGAAUUGCCUGAACCCAGGAGGCAGAGGUUGCAGUGAGCCGAGAUCGUGCCAGUGCACCCCAGCCUGAGUGACAGAGUGAAACUCCAUCUCAAAAAAAAAAAAAAAGAAAGAAGAAAGGAUGAUAUUGGGGGUCUCCUCUUUCAACUUUGGAGCCCCCCUCCCUCCCCCCUCCCUUUAUCUCUGUACUGGGGAGCCUCUUCCUUCUGCCUUCUCUUUUCUUUCUUGCCAAUUAAACUCUCUACUCCUUAAAACCAAAAAAAAAAAAAAAAAUAGAAAAGAAAGAAGAAAAAGAAGAAAGAAAAAGAAAGAAGGAAAGAAAGAAAGACAUGUAAGUGGCUUCCUAGUGAGAGAAAUAAUUUACUCUGGGAUGAGCUCACGUGGUGAGAAAUACUAUGAGCCUUGAUUUUUCAGCUCCUUACAUCUCAGAAUGAGGAAUUUCGAAUAUUAGAAUGCAUUCUGAAGAAGGCAGAGUAUACUCAUUAAGAAUAUGUCUUCUAACUCCAGAUAGACGAGAGACCAAAGGCUGGGGCUUCCACUUACUACCUCUGAGAAGUUGGACCACUUCAUUUUUCACCUCUGUCAAGGGCAGUCCUUGUGAGGAUGAACUAAGGCAGGCCCGGCACUGAGAAAGUGGCCAGUGGUGUCCACUGUUAGGUAGAGAGAAAUUGUUGAAAGCUUUAAGACAGUGUGGGGAAGGGGGAUGUCAAUAAAAUGAAGAGAAAGAUUUUGAAAGACGAACGCAGCAUCAGUGUCAACCUUUGGAGGAGUCUGUGCUGAGGAGAAGCCGGUAAGUGCAGAAACGACCCAGAGAGUCAAAGAAGGGAGCUUUGAAGUCAGGGCUGUAUUUGUUGCAAUGGUAAGAAGAUAAGGUUGAUAAGACCUGGAAAGUAUGUGGGCGUUUGAGACAAAUGGGUUAAUACACCAUCUCUUAGACAAGGAGAAGUCAAAGAUGAUGAUGAGGUGAGAGUCUUGGGUAGCCAGGAGAACAGACUUGAAAGGCCUUAACGGAGGUGAAACACACUCCACUUACCUCCUCAAUGCGCUCUUCCCAUGCGAUAUGCAGACUAGAUGAUCCUGGAGAAGUUUCUAUAUUCAGGUGGUUCCUUGGGGCACAGAUGUUAUAUGCUUGCUGUACUGUUUAAUCAUAAAACACUGCUACAAAAAGAUCUUUGAGCUUUUAGGUCACACAUACGCAAGUGCUAGGUAAAAUGUGAAAAGUAAGCUGAGUUUUUCUCUUCUUCCUCUGCAGUAGAAAAAUGAUUUUUUUUUUUUGAGACGGUGUCUCACUCUGUUGCCCAGGCUGGAGUGCAGUGGCAUAAUCUUGGCUCAUGGCAACCUCUGCCUCUGGGGUUCAAGAGAUUCUUCUGCAUCAGCCUUCCAAGUAGCUGGGACUACAGGCAUACGCCACCAUGCCCAACUAGGUUUUGUAUUUUUAGUAGAGACAGGGUUUUACCAUAUUGGCCAGGCUGAUCUUGAGCUCCUGACCUCAGCCUCAGGUGAUCCGCCCAACUCGACCUCCCAAAGUGCUGAGACUAUAGGUGUGAGCCACCAUGCCUGACCAGGAAUUUUAAGAUAUAAGAUGAAAAUGAGGAAGUAAAGAACACUCCAAAUAAGCAUCAGGAUGCUGAUCUUCAAAAAAUAAAAAUUUUCACCCAUUUAUCAGUCCUCCUGCAGAGUAGCCAUCAAGUAUAGAUUUUGAACUUUGUCCAUGCAAGGAAUUCCCUGAGACCAUGAAAGGUCAGAGAAGGACUGUCUUUAGGGCUGGGUGGACAAAUGGGUGGUGUAGGUGAUUAAGCACAAGUUUUCUUCUUGCACAGAAAAUUCCUUUCCAAAACUUAAAUAGUUUCUGCCUCAAGGAAAAUCUGUGCUAUUAUCACCAGUUUCCCCUUCUAUUUGUUUUUCCUGAAGUGCUAUGAGAUUUCUAAAACAAAGUGUAAGAUAUGAACGCUGUAAAUUCCUGCUGUUAUUCAUAAACAUUAUUUGGAAAUACUCCAUUUGGACUUGUCCACUUUUCCUUCUGUUACUAAAACCAGCUAUCAACUUUUCUAUAGGAAUUUUUUCCUGUAGUUACCUUAUCAUUUUUUGUUUAAUCAAAAUAACAUUCUUAUGUUUUUUAUUAAUUCAUACUUUUUUUUUUUGAAAUAGGGUCUUAUGCUCAGGCUAGUCUCAAAUUCUUAGCUCAUGUGAUCCUCUCGCCUCAGCUUCCUGAAUAGCUGGGACUACUGGUGCAUGCCACCCAGAUUCAUUCAUGUUUUAUUAUUAUUUUGAGACAGAGUCUUGCCCUGUCACCAGGUGCCAGGCUGGAGUGCAGUGGCAUGAUCUCGGCUCACUGCAACCUCUGUCUCCUGGGUUCAAGCAAUUCUCCUGUCUCAGCCUCCCAAGUAGCUGGGACUACAGGUGCACCCCACCACGCCCAGCUAAUUUUUAUAUUUUUAAUAGUGAUGGGGUUUCACCAUGUUGGCCAGGAUGGUCUUGAUCUCUUGACCUCGUGAUCCACCUACCUCGGCCUCCCAAAGUGCUGAGAUUAUAGGCGUGAGCCACCGCACCCAGCCUCAUGUAUUAUUUUAAUGGCUUAGGGUUGCUUUUCCAGACAAUAAAUCGGUGAAAAUUAUUUUAUAAAAGUAUUAUCAACUGAACAUUAUUAUAACUCCCUCUUGGUCUAGAUAAAAAAGGAAUGGAGCAGUGGGUGGAAAAUUGACUUUCAUUACUUCUUAUUUUCAUAUUUUAUAGAAGUACAGAGAAGAUUGAUCAGUUGUCAACAUUAACUGACUAUGUAUAGAAUGCUAAACAAUUAUAAUAAAGAAGAACAAAGCAAUGAGGAACCUCAGUGGGGGUAAAUUUCUCAGUAUCUACAGCAUGACAAAGACAUAUUUCCCUGAGGCCAACAAUUCCCCUAUAGGAACACAUCCUAUGGAUAGACUUGUAAGUGCUCAAAAUGCAACUAGAAUGUUCCCAACUAUCUGCUGGGUAAUAUACAGGACAUAGGAGAAGAAAAGGAUAAACUGGUGUCUCUCAACUGAGACAAAUGAGAGAAGAAGUUCAGUCCUAACUCAGGCAGGGAAGCAGAGUCAGAGAAUGACUGACUGCAAGGAGUGGAGAGCCUUCUGAAGAAAAUCCCAGGUUAAAGCCCCAUAGCGCAGAGGUCGGACUUGGGGUAGAAAACACAGAGGCAGCUGCGGUUCAUCCCUUGUAAUAACCACAUUUUCUAAUUUCUGUGUUUGGUGUUUUGGCAUCUGAGCCUUGCUAACUCAAGAGAAACUACUGCUCCCAGGGCUGCUAAUUCCUAGAGAUGGCAAACAACUUGCUUGGGAGUGCACCUUUCAUCUGCACACCAACCAAUCCAGAGCCCACAUUCCCCAAUCACUCUGGGUAUACUUACAAAAGGAAUAGGACAGUGGAAGGAAAAUUGACUUUCAUUACUUCCUAUUUCAAUAGUUAUAGACAUACAGAUAAGAGAAUGAUCAGUUAACAACAUUAGGUAACUAAGUAUAGAAUACUACAAAAUUGUAAUAAGAACAAAGCAGUGAGGAGCCUCAGUGGAGGGAAAUUGCUCAGUAUCUGAGGCAUGACAAAUGCGUAUUUCCCUGGGGAUAUGGUUUGGAUCUGUGUCCCCGCCCAAAUCUCAUGUUCAAUCGUUAAUUCCAUUGUUGAAGGUGGAGCCUGGUGGAAGGUGAUUGGAUCAUGGGGGUGAAGUUCUCAUGUAUGGUUUGGCACCAUCCCUUUGGUGGUGUUCUCAUGAUACAGUGUCACAAGAUCUGGUUAUUUAAAAGUACGUGGCACCUCCACACCUGCUUCCUCCUCCUCCAGCCAGAUGAAGAUGCCUGCUGGCGCUUUACCUUCCGCCAUGAGUAAAAGCUCCCUGAGGCCUCCCCAGAAACAGAUGCUGCCCUUCUUCCUGUAUAGCCUGGGAAGCUGUGAGCCAAUUAAACCUCUUUUCUUAUAAUUUACCCCGUCUCAAGUAUUUCUUUAUAGCAGGAUAAGAAUGGACUAAUACAUCUAGAAAGAACAAUUCCCCUGUAGGAACAUACCCUAUGGAGAGACUGAUCCUGUGGAUAGCCUCCAAUCACCUUCUUUAUCUGACCAUUAUCCACCUAUCUCAAUCACCCCAGGGCCAGAUGCCAGACAGAAAGAGUGGCUACGUCCCAGAGCCCAUUGAAUUACUCAAACUAGCCAAUCCUAAAUCUGCUUAUUUUACCUCAUGGAUUCCUCCUCAUGGAAACCACAGUAAAAAACCUUGCCCACAUUCCCCGACUCCCUCUACCUCCUGACGACCCUGGUGCUUCCCCAUGUGGCCUGCAUGGCAUGUCACAGCUCCUGUUCCUAGGAGUCUGUGAAUAUAGACUUCAUAAUUAUCAUUUCUGUGUCUGCAUAUCUUUCAUGCCUGAUUAAAACAAAUCCCAGACAUAUUUUUUAACUUCCUUGAAAACAACUUUCAAAUAUCUUGAGUUCUUUGGAAAUAAAAAGAACCUCCAGAGAUAUUCCCCGUCCUAAAGACAAGUAAUCAGAAGCCCAUAGUCCAGAAAACGAAGUUUGGUAUGUUGUGUGUGUGCAUGUUGGAGAAGGGGAAGAAGUUAGUGUCUUCGAUGAUCUUUAAGUUUCCUCUUGCAUGUAUUAUUUUACAUAAUCAGGCAUAUUCUAUAUAAUCAGUAGAAGCCCUAUGUCAUGCUAAUUAUUUCUGUGCCCAUGCACUUUCACUCAGCUUUGUAUACACAGCGUGUGUGCUGUGCUCUGCAUAGUACCUAGCACAUUGCUAGUACUUUUAGAAGAUUAAGGCCCAGCAAAAUAUGAAUAUCAUGCUCUCCCGCCAUGAAUUGCAUCUAAUGUCUAAUUUUCUGAAUGCUCCUAUUCUCCCUUGUCUGAUGUGCUCACCUCAAAGUAUUGGCAGGUGGGUGAAGUGGAGGUCUUGGUGGGGGAGAGGGCAGCAUUAACUAGAAAGGUACUAGCAUCAGAGGUUACGUUGCUCUUUCAUCUGGGCCUAUUGUAAGGAGCUUCUUACCAUUGGCUACAAAAAUUACCUCCAAGAUAUAGAAUGGGAACUCAGAGGCAAAGCCAACUGGGAAAAGGUAAGGUACAAAUAAAAUAAAAAUGGGACCAAAAUUCAGGAUUCGUAAUUGGGAUUUGGUGGAGAUUUCAGAGCUGAGCAUUUGGAAACUACAAGAAGAAGAUCAGAGCAAAAAAGAUUAGAAACCAGCUAAAUGAAUUCUUGUGUGAUUUACAAAGCAGACUGGGGCUCCCUUGGCUGGUGGGUGUGUGAUCCUCAGGGCUCCAAGUUGGCUGGAAGGGUCAAUGAAGGCAAAAGGAACAUGUGUCUUAGGUUGGGUUCCUCUGGAAACAUUCUGAGAGUGUGAAGAGGGCUUGUUGGGGAGUGCUCUCAGGAACAUCUUAAGGCAGCGAGGAAAGCCAGAUGGGACAGAGCCGGGAGUGGAAUUGCAAUGCAGUUGCAGCCAAGGCCUUGGGUAAUCUAUAUGUCACUGUGUAAUGGGGGUGGCAGUUCAGAGUUGUCCAGAACUGAGGUGUGAAAACUGGGCUUUUGUACCUCCUCUACGGAUCUGAACUACUCUGGAGAAGGAGACAUAAUUUGGGUGAGGCAACCUCACUUCUGCCAAAGGCAAUUCCUCUGGAUGCAGCUGUGGGCUCAGCAGCCAAUAGUCAAGACAACUGGAAGAAUCAGUCCCAGUGAGGGAUCUGGGUGGCAUCCAUGACAGCAUCCCAUUAAAUAGAAAACUGGCAGUACCACAUUUGGAAUUGUGGAUUUUGCAAGCCAAGUUUAUCUUAUUAACUCAAAGCAAUGUCAAAAUGUCAAACUCUGUUGGGUCAGGAAAUAGGAUGCUCCAACCCUGCCCAUGGUAAGUUCUCAUAGCUGCUAUAAACAUCUUAAGAAAGCACACAUGAUUGGGCCUGAUAGCCCAGGGAGGGGUUAUUCUAACUGAUGUCUCUGCCAACUCUAUAAGCUGGUAGCUUGGCUGCAGUACACCAGGUAUCCGGAUAGGAAGUUGUUUCCAUGCGUAACCAAAGGUGAAGGACCCAGGGUGGUCACCUGAAAUGUGUUUGUCAUAUGCAGGUCAUCGUUCCUGGGAAUCUUUGGCCUCAUUUCCCAGAUCCCUCUGGCUCAAACGUAUGAUGAUUUAAAUCAAGAUGCUUGGGAGCAAUGACAAAUAAUCCACUACAACUUCUCUGCUGCUUCCCUGCUUGCCUACGGCCCACCCUCUCCAGCACACACACACUCAGACACACACAAGUACAGUAUUGUUCCACCAUAUCCCUAAUUUUACAGAUCUCCCGCUGAAGGUUCUGACUAAUGGUAAGUUAUUUGUUCAGAAAGAUUUUAUGGCUCUCAUAAAAUGUCAAUUACAGUUUUAAAAUAACUUGUAGUUUUUCUGUAACAUGAUGCUGCCAUCUUGGUUCCCAGAGGGUGUAUUAAAUUCAAGUAGCAAUAACAAAUCAUUUAAGCAAUAAAUAAAUAACCUGAGACGGAGUGUUGUUAAGAGUUAAUAGUCUCCCAUACACUCAAUAGAGGUUGAGGCUCCACUCAAUUAAAGUGACCCUGGGAGGGAGGGGCACAGGGGCCAAACUGCACCCAGUCGUUUUGUUGAAGGUAUUCAACCCGCACACAUUCAUUUCCUUCUUUAUGUUGUCUCUUUUCAGCAGGGAAGGCUCUCUGCAGUCCCUGGUUCCAGAGAACAAUUACGGUACAGUCUGAGAGAACAGAGAGAAAGCUGGGGUCAUAAAUAUGUUAAAUGGGUGCGUGGGUUUAAGUGGCUUUGUAAACGAAACACGGAGGAAAACUCAGACUAAUUAAUGAAUAUGAAGCAGCAGGAAGGCUGGAGGUUUCUGGGGGACCGUCUUGUUGAGGGAUGAAGAUGCGACAUCUGUAGAAUUAUUUUCCUCCAGGAAGGGACACUUGCUUAUUUCAAAACCUCUUUUUCUAGAUCUCAAAGUGGCUUUGUGGAGAACAUCAGAUGUGGGUGAAAACACACAAAGAAACAUUUAAAAGUGAAAUCCCCUUAAGUUGCAAUUUCUCUGAUCAAGUUAUAACCUUGCCCAAAAGAAUGAUCUGACAGAUUUUUAAAAAGUGUUAUCUGUGUAUUCUGAGAGAGUGACAUCAUGCUAAUGUAGAAAAGAAGAUGUAUUGCAUAUUUUAAAUACAGAUUCACAGCUCAUUCCAAUACACAGACUCUCGCCUAAUAAGUGGCAUUUGUUGAAUGUUAAAUUCCAUUUCGGUCAAAUCAAAGAUAAAGAUUUUGUGAUGUGGCAUAUCUGCAAUGUUCUAAAAUAUUUCAGUUUUUCUGUUUGGAGCAUUUACUCUUUUUCCUUUUGCUCCUUCUUCACCUUUUUUGGAAAAAAUUAUUAGCACAAAUAUCUUAUCUGCACAGGAUGUUAAAGACUGCCUGCAUGCCUCCUAUGACCUGUGUUUACCCACAAAUGACUUUCUGGUCUUGCUGUGUGAGACAAGCCAGUGCUGGUACUCUGAAGUGUCCCAGAACUUGGGGGAUGCUGACCCUGUAGGAGCCAGUCAAAGAACAACCACCACACAUAGGCCACAGCAGAGACGCAGAUGGACAACGGAGUCAGGAAGGAGAGACAGACUCAAACAAGGAUGGGAAAAGUAGACAGGCACAAAGAAAGCCACAGAGAAGAACAAACACGAAAAUAAAAACCCAGAAGCAACAGAAAAAUGGCACUUCUAGGAUGCACCCUAGCCUCCUUGUUUAAUUGACUAAAUGGCAGAGCUGUGAGCAGAAGAUGAAAUAGUUGAUCUAAUUUGAUUGUUAAAAGGCAAAAAUAAGCAGACUGCCCCAGUUUCAGCAGCCUUAGUUUCAAUGACAAGCAAACAAAACCUUGCUACAUCUUGUCUAUAUUGAUUCAACCAACUCAUUUUGUUUUUAUUACAUUUAAAGCUGAAGAAUUACCUUUAUCAUUCUUAAAUGUAAUUCAUAAAUGACAUCUGUUCUUCAAAAAGAAAUAGUAUGUGUUUGAUUGAACACCUACUAUAGGAAAGGUAGGGGAUUAAGGCUUUGCAGAAAGAAUACAAAGAUGCAUGAGAACUCUAAUUGAUCUUAAAAUAUUAAGGAAACAGAUGGUCACGGUUACGUGAUAAAUGUGUCAAACUAAAUGAUAUCAAGACAAGAAGUGAAUAGUACAAGAAACAUCAGAAUAACUGUCACAAGAAAAUGCUCUUGAAAAAUUGCUUAAUAUGGGAUACAGAUUAUAAACGUUUUGAGGUCUGAAGGGAGAAGACUUAUAAUUUGUAUAAAUACAGAUUAUAAACGUUUUGAGGUCUGAAGGGAGUUAAAGUAAUCAUUAUAGUUCUAAUGAGAUGAUGAUCUGCUUUGGGUCUUCGAGGACCUUUGAUUCUUUUAUAGGUGAAAUGGAGAAGAAAAGGAUUUGGAGACAUUAAUUUACAUAUUAUCCAUUGCUGUUGUUUUAUUUAUAAGGAACAAUGAAACCAUAAACAUAUAUAUAGUGGUAUGAUGUGAUCUGUGUUUGUCUUAAAUUUUCACCUUAUACACAAAUACAAAGAAAAGUUAUCUAAGGAAGCUUGAUAGUUGCAGUGAAACUAUUCCAUGGAAGAAAGUGAUGCUGGAAAUAGUCAUUAAGCAAAAAAUGAUAGUAACUCUCAAAUACUUAUGUCUUUUGUCAGCAUUUCUAUAUACAAACUAUCAAAAGACUAUUUUAUAUAUAGUCUUUGCUAUGUUAGAAUGGAAUAAUGUCCUUCCCCUCUGAAUACCUUAUAGCUCCCAGAGCAUGAUUUAAAUGUUCAAAUGUCUAUCAAACAGAGAAGAAAAACAAAUCAGUAUUUUCCUAGAGUUGAGGAUGGGAGCAGGGAAUAACCAUCACCUGGGAUCAAGGGAAUUUGGGCAGUGAUGGAAAUGUUCUGAAAAAUUACACUGUGGUAAUGGUUGUACAAUUCAAUACAUUAACUAAAAUCAUUGAAUUGUACAUUGAUUACAGGCAAAUUUAAUGAUAUGUAAAUUAUAAUUCAAUAAAGCUAUCUUUUUUUGAAGUGUCUACCAGGCCAGGGUGGUAAUGUAACUCAAUGAUAGUUUCUGUGUUUUGAAUGAAGAUGCACUCUUUUUGCAUGGUAGACAUUUAAGAGUGUCCUUUAACCUCACUAAGAUUUAUCAAUCUCCCAUAUUUCAUGAAACCCAGGAUUUUCUUGUUGUAUUUUUUGUUUUCUAAUUUUUAUAGAGAUAUGAGUAUAGAAAAAAAUUUUUUUAGUUAGAGGAAAACAACAUGACAAGUGACAAUCCAAGAUUUCUCACUGUGCAGCCUUGGUAGAAACUGGUGGGGCCAUGAUACCUGGAGGACUGUGUCCUGUGUCAAGGUGAAAACCACUACUCAGCUCCAUUGGUUGUUACAGGGUAGGGAGGGGAAGUUGCCAGAUUUUCUACUUCUCCAAGAAAACAUUAUAAUAAAAUCUUCUGAUUUUAAGAUGUUGGUUCAGACUUUUAAAACAAAACACCAUAUGGUCCAAACAAAAUGGGCCAAUUCAGUCAAUGAGGUGAAAGUCCAUAGCCUCUGCUUUAUAGUCAGAAGCUUAUUGUGUAGUGCUUAAUUAUGGAUUUCCUACUUUUGCUCACUGUUGUUCUGUGUGGGCUAAUUUUGACUCCCCGAACUUUUAUAGUUUCUGGAGCUGGAGGUUGGGGUAAGGGUUUUGGGCCUGAUACGUACGUGUGUGUGCAUGUAUGUUUGUGUAUACUGGUCUCAACCAGUGCGUAGCUUUGUGCCAAAUAUAUAUUACAAAUGCACAGUCAGUAUUGUCGGUUUCAUUAAGAUAAUCAAAAUAUCAUGCAAAUAAAUGUUUUCUUGAAGACUAGCUAAAAUAUGCAUGCUACUUCACCCAUCUAGAAAGAUACAGUCUGGACUCAAACUCAAGUCUAAGUAGACCUCACAUAAAGUGACAAUGACCUGUCAGGUUUUCCUUGGCCAGAUCAAGCACACAAGAAAAUAAAAAUAAUAAUUUUCUGUACUGGGCCAUCGUAUUAUCUCUGAAAUGUGGCAGAGACUAGAUAGAUUCUUACCAAAUAUUGUUUCUUCUCUCUGGGCAUACGUAAAGACUGCAUUUCCCAUACUCCCUUGAAGUUAGUUUGAAGUCAUUUGACUACAUUUUAGGCAUGGAAUUUGAGCAGACAUGUUCCAGGACUAGCUAUAGAAGUCUCCUGUGUGAACCGCCAUAUCUCUUCUCUUUCCAUGCUGUAGCAUUUGCAGAGAAUACAUUUUAGAAUAGAGUCAUCGCAUGAUGGAAGGAAACUGGGUUCCUGAGUCACAGCAUGGAGGAGAGUCACAAAGGAGAGCCAUCUGGCCCACAUCAGACUAAGGUGAGCAACUUGAGGCUCAGAGAGAUUCAGUAACUCAUCCAAGUUCAUAUGUCUAAAGAAUAUAGACUGAGCCAAAAGUCAAGCUCAGGUUUGCAUGACUCUGAAACAUGUGACCCAGGAUCAGACCUCCCUGCAGUUACACUUCACCACCGAGGACUACGAUAUGAACGCUGAGGUGGAGAUUAUAGUCCCAUUCCACAUUUAUGAAGUGCCCCCACUGAUGGGGGUACCACAUACCAGGUCCAAACCAUGAUACCUUUGAGAGUGAAUGGGGAAUUAUUAAUCUGAUGCUGGGACAAUAGCGUAUUAUUAACUAGGACUGCUCCGGUGACAUGACGACCUACUAUGGUCACCCCCAAUCCCUGGGAACCUCUUGGAAGAAGGUCUCUUAGCAACAGAAGGGAAGCAUCCUGGUCAGGUAAUCUGCUUCCCCAGAGCAACCACCGACAUAUCUACUAUGUUCACUUGGUAGAAAGAAGUAACAAGGGAAACAGAAGAGGUAGGUAAGAAACAAACAAUGUAUUUUACAAUUCAUCAUAAAAUGAUUGCUGGGAGCAUAUUUUUUGCUUCAGAAACGUUAGUCAAAAUAAUUCAGCUAUAGUCCUGGUAUCAUAGAACACACAUAUCCUAGCAAAUUUCAAAUGCAAUAGUUUGUCAGUUUAUAGUCCACAGAAGAUCUUCUAAGUAUAGGCCUGUGCCACAUUCUCCUUACCCCGUGGUGUCUCUUGGGCAGCGUACAUGGGCAUGCAAAUGUGACAAGAAGAAUUCUGAUUCCUCACGCUUAUUUAGGUUGUGAAACUCCUAUUCUGGGUUCAUGCCAUAAACAUGGUGUGCCUAAUUAAAGAGGCUAAAAUCAAAAGAACCACAGCUCUUUCUUUCACAAAACUAUUUCUCUUCCUCUUUCUGCUCCUCCUCCUUCUCUUACAGAGCUCUUACUACCAAAAUACAUACAAAUUAGACAUGCAUUACUGGAAGAAACUGUAGGAAAAGGAGCUAAUGACUUUAGUGGGGCAGAAGGUUCAAAUAUAGGACAGGAAUCCAGCCCCACACCACUGGUUCACUUGAAUACCUCCUGCUGUUCAAAUUCUACUCACCUCUUGUCCCCCAACUUUCUGCUGGGCACUGACCAACACUCAGAGGUAUAAACUUAAAUUUGAUGUUCAGCACAUAUAUUUGCUCCCAUUCAUGAAGAUCCAUGGCUACAAAGACUAGGAAAUUAGAAACUAAGCCCCAGACCCUUGCUUUGGACUACAGUAUUUCCAGAUAUUGGCUCAGGGAUACUUAGAGGGCUGGAUUUGCCAUGUCACGCCCGAUAGCCUGCUGGUUGUCGGCGGGGUCUCCUUCUCGGCUGAGGAAGGCAGUGGCUCAGAGACCUGCUCUUUGUCUGAGGUGACACAGACUCUUGGCAGCAGACCUCUUCAGUUCAAGCUUGCUUGCUUCUGAAGUCCUGCCAACCCUCACACUAAGAAAACGAUGGCAUUUAAUUAGGGGGAAACACCUCGUGCUACAUGAAAGAGAAGAGAGAAAUGGGAAAAAUUAAUUCAUUGCUAUGUAAUAGGUGUAAAACACUUUAAAUAUGUAGAGGUUGCCAUUUAAUUUUUUAAAAAGUCAGCUUCUUAUUAGACAGCAGUGUAGAUAGAUAUCUUGACAGCUUUUGCACGUUGGUAGCAGCCUAGGGCAACAUGGACACUAGAAAGUCAUUGCAAUAAACCUCUGAGCUUUGCCCUAUUAAAAAUGUCAGACUAAUAAAUCACAUUUUUUAAUGACCAAGGAGGGAGGAGAUCAAUAAGCUUUAGGAAGCCAUCUACAGAAGGGUCAUCUGGUGCUGUUUAACAUAGGCUCACUACGGUGGCAAAGAUUUCACAAUUCAUCUACCGUUCAAUGUUAAGAUCCACAUCAGGGCAUGAAAGUUAUAUUAACUUUUAGGCCAGAAAUCUUGGAGGAAACUCUUCUAUUUUUAGGCACUUAUUUAGUCUUUCAGAUCGUGUGUGUGUGUUUUUAAAUAGCCCUAUAUUUUCAAAUUGUUUUCUGUCUUUCGAAUCUUUAAAAUGUAGAAAAUAAUAUUUUUCUUGGUUCUAUUAACCAGAGUUUUUAAAAACUUUUCUAAAUAUGGCAAUUACUUAGCAUAUUGAAACAACAACAGGAGGUCAAUUAAACAAAGGGAUGAAAUUUACUGUUGAGGCAAUGAAUGGAAGAGUAUACCCUAUAGACCUGCAGGCUUCAGUGUUAGCAAAGAUCAAACUGUCAACCUCAAAGAAAAAUAGAUCCUUUAAAAGAAAUAAUCCAAGGCUUAUCAUUAUUCUUAGCAGCUUUUUCUUCUCUCUUCCUCAUACCUCCCUUCUCCUGAAUUAUAUAUGCAUUAACAGACAUUCUCAUUGGAGGAAAAAAAACUAAAUUUGACAUCUUUUAUAAGUUAUUCAUUUUAACAAAAGUUUCAAAAUUGCCUUAUUUAAUGAGUUUCUCUUCACCAGUACAAAAGACAAUAAAUAAGACGCAGUGAUGAGCAGUAGAGGAAGGUCUUUUGAGGUCUCGGUGAGACUGUUUAGCAGGGAUUGAAGACCACUUCUGAUGCUCACUCUAAAAGAAAUAUUUUAAGCAAACCAUAAAAGUGGGCUUGACCCUUCCAUGGGACCAUCAUAAAUCAAUUGUUAAAGCAAGGGUGAAAACUGGGGAGGAGGUCAGAGGUGGGAGAGAGGCCACAGAGAAAGGACAGUGUGAGAAACUAGAGCCAAACCAGGGAAGAGAAUAGGGCAAUCUUUUGGUUGAGCAGCAUCAUUAAUUCAGAAAUUGUGUUUAUGCUGCUUAGAACUGUACACUAAUGAAAUUACAGCCAUAUGAAAACUUCCCACAGCAGAACUUAAAACCUAGGGUUGUUUUAGCACUGAGGCUCCUGUUCAGCAACAGGUCGAUUGAAACUUGCUUAAAAGUCAGUGUCAAUCUACCCUAAGUCCUUGGGAAAGUUCCUCCGAAUAUACAGGAAAGUUUGUGCCACUGUUUCCCGUGUGUCAUUAAAUGAUACACCUUUAGAUGUGCGGGUGGUAUUCAGACAUAAAUAUCUAACUCAUGGUGUCUCGAAGCAUGUCAGUUUUACCAUAUUCUGAGAAAGGCAGCCCUUAACUUUUUGCCAAAUUGAUCUUACACUCGCAAGAAAAGGCUUCGUGAUAACCCCUUCAUUAGGAGAAAAGAAUAUAGAAUAACAAGUUAGAGUGUUGACUAAUCUAAAAAAUAAAAACUUUUGCAGAAAAUUUUGUAUCAAAUGUAGAGUUUGAAUGAUCUAUAUGUCUAGUCAUUUGUUUCCUUCGGGUGGAAUCAAGUUUGAAGCCCAGACAAUUAAAGUGAUUCACAUUUAAAUGAAAGGUGGCUCGAUUGAUUUGUAACGACACAAUUUAUUUGGUAAUAAUGACAUUCCUUGCGUUUGGCCAAGAAAACAAAGGUUGAUUUAUUUCCUAAUA